UUGUCUCAAAGAUUAAGCCAUGCAUGUCUAAGUAUAAGCACUUUAUACUGUGAAACUGCGAAUGGCUCAUUAAAUCAGUUAUCGUUUAUUUGAUAGUACCUUACUACAUGGAUACCUGUGGUAAUUCUAGAGCUAAUACAUGCUGAAAACCUCGACUUCGGAAGGGGUGUAUUUAUUAGAUAAAAAACCAAUGCCCUUCGGGGCUCCUUGGUGAAUCAUAAUAACUUAACGAAUCGCAUGGCCUUGCGCCGGCGAUGGUUCAUUCAAAUUUCUGCCCUAUCAACUUUCGAUGGUAGGAUAGUGGCCUACCAUGGUGGCAACGGGUAACGGGGAAUUAGGGUUCGUUCCGGAGAGGGAGCCUGAGAAACGGCUACCACAUCCAAGGAAGGCAGCAGGCGCGCAAAUUACCCAAUCCCGACACGGGGAGGUAGUGACAAUAAAUACUGAUACGGGGCUCUUUUGGGUCUCGUAAUUGGAAUGAGUACAAUCUAAAUCCCUUAACGAGGACAAUUGGAGGGCAAGU
Molecule: ribosomal RNA, 523 nt
Filed under: Aspergillus niger
Lineage: Eukaryota; Fungi; Ascomycota; Eurotiomycetes; Eurotiales; Aspergillaceae
Description: SSU rRNA
Rfam family: Eukaryotic small subunit ribosomal RNA
Source: RNAcentral